Molecule: ribosomal RNA, 739 nt
Filed under: uncultured bacterium
Lineage: Bacteria
Description: bacterial SSU rRNA
Rfam family: Bacterial small subunit ribosomal RNA
Source: RNAcentral
AGAGUUUGAUCAUGGCUCAGGAUGAACGCUGGCGGCAUGCCUAAUACAUGCAAGUCGAACGGAGCGACUAGGAAGCUUGCUUCCAAAGAAGCUCAGUGGCGAACGGGUGAGUAACACGUAGGUAACCUGCCCAUGUGCCCGGGAUAACUGCUGGAAACGGUAGCUAAAACCGGAUAGGUCCGAGAACCGCAUGGCACUCGGAUUAAAGCACCUAAGGGUGUGAACAUGGAUGGACCUGCGGCGCAUUAGCUAGUUGGUGCGGUAACGGCGCACCAAGGCGAUGAUGCGUAGCCGACCUGAGAGGGUGAACGGCCACAUUGGGACUGAGACACGGCCCAAACUCCUACGGGAGGCAGCAGUAGGGAAUUUUCGUCAAUGGGGGGAACCCUGAACGAGCAAUGCCGCGUGCGUGAAGAAGGCCUUCGGGUCGUAAAGCGCUGUUGUAAGUGAAGAACGGCCGAUAUAGGGAAUGAUAUCGGAGUGACGGUAGCUUACCAGAAAGCCACGGCUAACUACGUGCCAGCAGCCGCGGUAAUACGUAGGUGGCGAGCGUUAUCCGGAAUUAUUGGGCGUAAAGGGUGCGUAGGUGGCACGCUAAGUCCGAAGUAAAAGGCAAUAGCUCAACUAUUGUGUGCUUUGGAAACUGGCGGGCUAGAGUGCAGAAGAGGGCGAUGGAAUUCCAUGUGUAGCGGUAAAAUGCGUAGAUAUAUGGAGGAACACCAGUGGCGAAGGCGGUCGC